Molecule: ribosomal RNA, 253 nt
Filed under: uncultured bacterium
Lineage: Bacteria
Description: partial 16S ribosomal RNA
Rfam family: Bacterial small subunit ribosomal RNA
Source: RNAcentral
UACGGAGGGUGCGAGCGUUGUUCGGAAUUACUGGGCGUAAAGCGCGUGUAGGCGGCCUUCUAAGUCUGGUGUGAAAUCCCGGGGCUUACCCCCGGAAGUGCAUUGGAUACUGGAAGACUCGAGUACCGGAGAGGAGGGUGGAAUUCCUGGUGUAGCGGUGAAAUGCGUAGAUAUCAGGAGGAACACCGGUGGCGAAGGCGGCCCUCUGGACGGAUACUGACGCUGAGACGCGAAAGCGUGGGGAGCAAACAGG